GACGAACGCUGGCGGCGUGCUUAACACAUGCAAGUCGAACGGAAAGGCCCUGCUCUUGUGGGGUGCUCGAGUGGCGAACGGGUGAGUAACACGUGAGUAACCUGCCCUUGACUUUGGGAUAACUUCAGGAAACUGGGGCUAAUACCGGAUAGGAGCUCCUGCUGCAUGGUGGGGGUUGGAAAGUUUCGGCGGUUGGGGAUGGACUCGCGGCUUAUCAGCUUGUUGGUGGGGUAGGGGCUUACCAAGGCUUUGACGGGUAGCCGGCCUGAGAGGGUGACCGGGCACAAUGGGCCUGAGGGACGGCCCAGAAUCGUACGGGCGGCAGCAGUGGGGAGUAUUGCACAAUGGGCGGAAGCCUGAUGCAGCGACGCCGCGUGCGGGAUGCCGGCUUUCGGGUUGUAAACCGCUUUCGACUGUGACGAAGCGUGAGUGACGGUACUGGGUAAAGAAGCACCGGCUAACUACGUG
This 468-nucleotide ribosomal RNA is filed under the name uncultured bacterium. RNAcentral describes it as "partial 16S ribosomal RNA". It matches the Rfam family "Bacterial small subunit ribosomal RNA", at positions 28 to 507 of the family's 1533-position model. The record is from RNAcentral.